CGGGUGCGUAACGCGUAUAGAACCUACCUUUUACAGAGGAAUAGCCUUUAGAAAUGAAGAUUAAUGCCUCAUAGUAUUGUAGACUGGCAUCAGUUUAUAAUUAAAGAUUUAUCGGUAAAAGAUGGCUAUGCGUCCUAUUAGUUAGUUGGUAAGGUAACGGCUUACCAAGACAGCGAUAGGUAGGGGUCCUGAGAGGGAGAUCCCCCACACUGGUACUGAGACACGGACCAGACUCCUACGGGAGGCAGCAGUGAGGAAUAUUGGACAAUGGAGGAGACUCUGAUCCAGCCAUGCCGCGUGUAGGAAGAAUGCCCUAUGGGUUGUAAACUACUUUUAUACAGGAAGAAACACUGGUAUGUAUACCAGCUUGACGGUACUGUAAGAAUAAGGACCGGC
Molecule: ribosomal RNA, 396 nt
Filed under: uncultured Polaribacter sp.
Lineage: Bacteria; Pseudomonadati; Bacteroidota; Flavobacteriia; Flavobacteriales; Flavobacteriaceae
Description: bacterial SSU rRNA
Rfam family: Bacterial small subunit ribosomal RNA
Source: RNAcentral